UCGGGGUUCACUGGACCACUGACCACAAACUAGUUUCGUCCGGUUUCAAUUUUACCUAUUAAAAAAACCCUCUGACAGUCAGUUGAAGUUAUCAUUUUGUCCUCUUACAAAAUGUUUAUAUUUUCUAUACUCAAUAACCUUUUCUGCGGCCUGUGGAGAAAAUCUGUCAUCUCAGAGCGCGCGCCGUUGAGGCAUGGUGAAUUAACAGCAUACUGAAAAACAUG
Haliotis rubra (blacklip abalone) is the source of this 224-nucleotide long non-coding RNA. RefSeq lists it as uncharacterized. The transcript has 3 exons. Lineage: Eukaryota; Metazoa; Mollusca; Gastropoda; Lepetellida; Haliotidae. The record is from RefSeq and is a predicted model, not a curated record.